This is a non-coding RNA of Pelobates cultripes (western spadefoot toad), 206 nucleotides long. NCBI's taxonomy places the organism in Eukaryota, Metazoa, Chordata, Amphibia, Anura, Pelobatidae. The record is from the annotation of a GenBank genome assembly.
CCCCACACCUGGACAACUCAGUGACAUCCAACAGACUCAGAUACCACACACUGAAAAGACAAUGCUGAGCAAUCCAAAAAUUACUGGCCACACACAACCUUUAAGAAGUAUGGCGAGUGACACACACUGGAGAUAGAGAAUACACCCACAACUAGGCGGUACAUAAUACAUAUUCCAGAAUAGACAGGUUUGUGGUAACGGGGUAC